This 66-nucleotide transfer RNA is filed under the name Gekko subpalmatus. RNAcentral's name for it is "tRNA-Lys". Lineage: Eukaryota; Metazoa; Chordata; Lepidosauria; Squamata; Gekkonidae. The record is from RNAcentral.
CUUUGAAGAAGCUAUAUUUAGCGCCGACCUUUUAAGUCGGAGAUGGACAACCUUGCCCCUCAAAGA